CCUCCUGUUGCCCAGCGGCUAAGGAACCUGACUACGGAUCAGGAAAGCCCAGGUCCAAAUCCUGGCGGGAUCG
This 73-nucleotide transfer RNA is filed under the name Catenaria anguillulae PL171. It matches the Rfam family "tRNA". Rfam says of the family: Transfer RNA (tRNA) molecules are approximately 80 nucleotides in length. Their secondary structure includes four short double-helical elements and three loops (D, anti-codon, and T loops). Further hydrogen bonds mediate the characteristic L-shaped molecular structure. tRNAs have two regions of fundamental functional importance: the anti-codon, which is responsible for specific mRNA codon recognition, and the 3' end, to which the tRNAs corresponding amino acid is attached (by aminoacyl-tRNA synthetases). tRNAs cope with the degeneracy of the genetic code in two manners: having more than one tRNA (with a specific anti-codon) for a particular amino acid; and 'wobble' base-pairing, i.e. permitting non-standard base-pairing at the 3rd anti-codon position. Lineage: Eukaryota; Fungi; Blastocladiomycota; Blastocladiomycetes; Blastocladiales; Catenariaceae. The record is from Rfam by way of RNAcentral.